RNAcentral lists this long non-coding RNA (275 nucleotides) under Bos taurus (domestic cattle). RNAcentral describes it as "long non-coding RNA NONBTAT025038". The record is from RNAcentral. Lineage: Eukaryota; Metazoa; Chordata; Mammalia; Artiodactyla; Bovidae.
AUCUGACCCAACAAGACAUCUAGCAGGAGCUGGGAGAGGAGCAUGAGACUGAGGUUAGCAUAGUAUUGGUUCCUGUGAAAUUGUCUCUGAGGUCACCUAGAGCUGGAUGCAUUUCUCAGUGGAAGGCACUCAUCCACAUCUUCCCCUUACCUCAUCUCUUUGGGCCAUGUGUGGUGAUAGUUCAUCAGGUGCUUCCUGGGGUCUCUGUGCUGACUUUGUGAUUCUACCACACUCCACCCACCCCUGUAUCAGUGCCAUCUACUAAGUAAAUCCUG